GCCUUCGUGGUGUAGCAGUCAGCACACUGAGCCGGUAUUUCAGAGGUCCGUGGUUCGAUUCCUGGCGAAGGCG
This 73-nucleotide transfer RNA is filed under the name Stegodyphus mimosarum. It matches the Rfam family "tRNA". From Rfam's summary of the family: Transfer RNA (tRNA) molecules are approximately 80 nucleotides in length. Their secondary structure includes four short double-helical elements and three loops (D, anti-codon, and T loops). The record is from Rfam by way of RNAcentral. Lineage: Eukaryota; Metazoa; Arthropoda; Arachnida; Araneae; Eresidae.